This 468-nucleotide ribosomal RNA is filed under the name uncultured bacterium. RNAcentral describes it as "partial 16S ribosomal RNA". It matches the Rfam family "Bacterial small subunit ribosomal RNA", at positions 28 to 507 of the family's 1533-position model. The record is from RNAcentral.
GACGAACGCUGGCGGCGUGCUUAACACAUGCAAGUCGAACGGAAAGGCCCUGCUUUUGUGGGGUGCUCGAGUGGCGAACGGGUGAGUAACACGUGAGUAACCUGCCCUUGACUUUGGGAUAACUUCAGGAAACUGGGGCUAAUACCGGAUAUGAACUCCUGCUGCAUGGUGGGGGUUGGAAAGUUUCGGUGGUUGGGGAUGGACUCGCGGCUUAUCAGCUUGUUGGUGGGGUAGUGGCUUACCAAGGCUUUGACGGGUAGCCGGCCUGAGAGUGUGACCGGCCACAUUGGGACUGAGAUACGGCCCAGACUCCUACGGGAGGCAGCAGUGGGGAAUAUUGCACAAUGGGCGGAAGCAUGAUGCAGCAACGCCGCGUGCGGGAUGACGGCCUUCGGGUUGUAAACCGCUUGCGCCUGUGACGAAGCGUGAGUGACGGUAAUGGGUAAAGAAGCACCGGCUAACUACGUG